UGAGAGAGAAAUUAUUUUCUUCCUCUUUAUUAAAGCUGGUAGAGACUGUAUCUCUGCAUAUUUAUGCAAAUCACAGUUUGUACAAUUGGAGCAUAAGAAAAAUCAAUGGCUGGUCUGUGAAGAUGAGAUAGAUGGGGAGACAAGGAAGUCAUCACCAGCAGGAGGACCAAUAUCCAAAAUGUGAGAAGUGAAGUCCAAAAAGGUGCCAAAGUCAAGAAUAGCAGAUAUGAAAGUUGAAGUAAAAAGCCAAGAGUUGGG
Odocoileus virginianus texanus is the source of this 258-nucleotide long non-coding RNA. RefSeq lists it as uncharacterized. The record is from RefSeq and is a predicted model, not a curated record. NCBI's taxonomy places the organism in Eukaryota, Metazoa, Chordata, Mammalia, Artiodactyla, Cervidae.